AAGCGGGGGUAAUCACAGUAUGCAAGCGUGUAACAAAAUGGUAUUAGACAUUGUAAAGAAGUAAAACUAAUAGAGAUAAUGAAAAGAUAACUUAUCAAUGGCUCACUAUCUCCCACACAGCUCUGUGAUACAUCCACGGUAUGGAUCCUGGUUCUCCCUGCAGCCUUUACUACCUGCCAUUUUCCAAGCUGUGUGGGAAAGAGAUCUCAGUCCGUGUGUGUGUUACAAUGUCUCGCAGCCAUCAGACUCUAGCCCAUCAUCGGCUAGCCGUGAUGAAGUUAGAAUGGUCGGGCUAGUAUGUCCGGUCCUGGGAGGGCGCAAGUUUUCUGGUUGGUAAUAGGUGGUGUAGUGGAAACAAGUCCAAUCCCAUGUAGGGGAGUCCCGGUUGUUAAUUUAGGUAGUCAGUUUAUAACUUAGUAGGUCUGAGAGGAUGCAUGUCAUUCUCCGGUAAGUCCC
This is a non-coding RNA of Pelobates cultripes (western spadefoot toad), 456 nucleotides long. NCBI's taxonomy places the organism in Eukaryota, Metazoa, Chordata, Amphibia, Anura, Pelobatidae. The record is from the annotation of a GenBank genome assembly.